Onthophagus taurus is the source of this 1296-nucleotide non-coding RNA. Lineage: Eukaryota; Metazoa; Arthropoda; Insecta; Coleoptera; Scarabaeidae. The record is from RefSeq and is a predicted model, not a curated record.
ACAAUAAACGUCAAAAUAACAGUUUAAAGAGACAUUUAAUAUUUAUGCUUGUAAGUAAACAUGUUCGCUUUACAGAAUUGUAAACCUCAUUCAUUUGGCAAAUUAAAUCUGAAAAUGGAGAGAAUUAAACGUCAAAGAUAACAUUUUUAAUAUUAAUUAAUUCCAAUUUGACACUUAAUCUUGACGGAUAGUAGAUAUCAGUCAGUAAAAGUUAGUGACGUUCGUUUUUAGAUUGACAGUUGUAGAAUGAACAUAACCUCACUUAAUACUUGAUGGAAAAUAUUAUAUAGUUCGGUCAUAAAAAUGGUAUUUGGGUGGUACCUACAGGUGGUCUUUUUAAAAAACUACGACACUAACAACUAAUUUAAAAAAAAUAAUUGACUUUUAACUAUUUAAAGUUUGACGACGAAGUUUGAAUGACAGUAUAAAGUACAAUUUUAAAAUGAAAAUGAAUUGGUGGGUGUUCCAAAUUUGGUAACGCCGAGAACGUGACAGAACGACAUCGAUCGAAACGGGUUCGGGGGUACGCACACAGGAAAUCGCCAUCAGGCGGAGAGUAAAAUAGGCAGAUCGUGCGAUCGGCCGCGUGAAAUUGGCCCCUAAUAAACGACCGAUAUCGGAUCUCAAUCGAUUUGUUUGUCGAGAACGUGCCGCCCCGGUACCGAGUCCGAUCUAUUCUCGGCCCAACUGCUACGAUCAAGAACACGUCAACCAGAGCCCAUUUCAAGAAAUCCAAAAUAUCCGUGUAGAAAUUACAAGCUAUCGAAAUCUAUGUAAGGAAGCACAAGUUACAAGAGACACUAUGUGGUGGAACAAAUACAUGCCAUGGUGCGACCAUAUGGUAUCGAGACCAUAGCAAAAACAAAGGAGACUAAACAGAGGAUGAGGGUGAUGGAGAUGAAAGUCUUGAGAUCUAUGUUGAAUGUGACACUGCGAGAUAGGCAGAUCAACACCUCUAUCAGAGCAAGAUGUAACAUACAAGAUGUAGUAAACUUGACAAAAGUCAGAAAGAAAAGAUGGAAGGAGCAUGUGGGAAGAAUGAAUGAGAGGAGAUUCAGAAUAUGCAUGUAUGGACGACUGUCCAAGAGAUGGGCACAGAGCUGGUUCUCCUCGUCUGCGGAGUAAAGUCCAAACAUGAAGCUUGACAAACAGGGAUGCAUCCCUACCUCGAAAGUAGAAGAAGAAGAUUUAUGUUUUCUAAAACAACAAAGAGUUCUGUAAGAUAUUCUUAGAUAGAUAACUAGUCUUUUUAAAUGUCAAAAAUUUAAGCUCAAAAUAAAAUUAAGAUGAGAUCAU